UCGAUAGAGGCGCGAGGCUUAAAAGUAACGGUUUUUUCAGCGAGAUAACGAAAAACCGCCAAAGGAAGUUUCGCCGAAACUGCGCGAUUUUUGCUCGAAAAACGCGUUGUUGGGCUGCAGGGAAACACGUUGCAGACUGUCGCAAGCUUGCUUGCGGAGCGCUAUUUUG
Molecule: non-coding RNA, 169 nt
Filed under: human gut metagenome
Description: Lysine riboswitch
Rfam family: Lysine riboswitch aptamer
About the family: Riboswitches are metabolite binding domains within certain messenger RNAs that serve as precision sensors for their corresponding targets. Allosteric rearrangement of mRNA structure is mediated by ligand binding, and this results in modulation of gene expression.
Source: RNAcentral